RNAcentral lists this transfer RNA (69 nucleotides) under Pediacus sp. MJ-2020. RNAcentral's name for it is "tRNA-Met". Lineage: Eukaryota; Metazoa; Arthropoda; Insecta; Coleoptera; Cucujidae. The record is from RNAcentral.
AAAAAGAUAAGCUAAUUCAAGCUAAUGGGUUCAUACCCCAUCUAUAAAGGUAAAUUCCUUUUCUUUUUA